AUUGAACGCUGGCGGAAUGCUUUUCACAUGCAAGUCGAACGGCAGCACGGGUGCUUGCACCUGGUGGCGAGUGGCGGACGGGUGAGUAAUGCAUCGGAACGUGCCGUAUAGUGGGGGAUAACGCAUCGAAAGGUGUGCUAAUACCGCAUACGCCCUGAGGGGGAAAGUGGGGGACCGUAAGGCCUCACGCUAUACGAGCGGCCGAUGUCCGAUUAGCUAGUUGGUGGGGUAAAGGCUCACCAAGGCGACGAUCGGUAGCUGGGCUGGGAGGACGACCCGCCACACUGGGACUGAGACACGGCCCAGACUCCUACGGGAGGCAGCAGUGGGGAAUUUUGGACAAUGGGGGCAACCCUGAUCCAGCCAUUCCGCGUGAGUGAAGAAGGCCUUCGGGUUGUCAAGCUCUUUUGUCAGGGAGGAAAUCCUUAGCGUUAAUACCGUUGGGGGAUGACAGUACCUGAAGAAUAAGGACCGGCUAACUACGUGCCAGCCGCCGCAGUAA
RNAcentral lists this ribosomal RNA (502 nucleotides) under uncultured bacterium. RNAcentral describes it as "partial 16S ribosomal RNA". It matches the Rfam family "Bacterial small subunit ribosomal RNA", at positions 30 to 523 of the family's 1533-position model. The record is from RNAcentral.